CAAACACGGAGGGCAGCAGGCACUUUCAGGGAAAGUUCAAAAGAAUGUCAGUAGAUGAAGUGCAGCCCUCCUCCUCCGUAUAGCAGAUACUGGAAGCAGCCGAGUAGGUGAGGGCUGGAGAUCUUCGUCACAUGCCUUGAUUAUCUGUGAUGGGGGCUAGCCAUGGAGAUUGGAUUUAUUCGUGGACCCCUAACCACUGAAGAACGCCUUAGACGCAAGAAUAAAGGCUUGUGUAUGUAUUGCGGCAAGGCAACUCACACCGUCAGGGACUGCCCCAUCCUUGAAAAGAAUAAAACCAUGGGAACGAAAAUGCUUGAAGAAAGAAGCCAUCGUUGAUACGGGGGCUCACUCAAAUUAUAUUGAUAAGUCACUAGUUUUCUCCAAUAAAAUACCACUGAUUAAAAAAAAUCA
Molecule: long non-coding RNA, 411 nt
Organism: Bombina bombina (fire-bellied toad)
Lineage: Eukaryota; Metazoa; Chordata; Amphibia; Anura; Bombinatoridae
Exons: 3
Source: RefSeq, a predicted model, not a curated record